CAUUGUUGGAAGCCAGUGUUUAUGGGCAGCCCAACGAAUGGUGCAGUGACUGUCACAGUAUAAACAGGUUCUAAAGAGCCAUGGCAUUGCGA
This is a long non-coding RNA of Myotis davidii, 92 nucleotides long. RefSeq lists it as uncharacterized. NCBI's taxonomy places the organism in Eukaryota, Metazoa, Chordata, Mammalia, Chiroptera, Vespertilionidae. The record is from RefSeq and is a predicted model, not a curated record. The transcript is spliced from 2 exons.